UUGAUUGACAUUUCAUCAAAAUAGUUUAUAUAUAUCUAGUAAUCGUUGAUACAAUUCAGCGCAUGGACAGGACCGCGGGGCAGUACCGCGCAGCUCCACCAUAACUACACUUGAGCGGUUGGCCUAGUGCAAGUAAGGACUCGAAAGAGAAUAGACUUGAGUGUAGUUAUGAUGGGGCUGAACAAGGAUCGACUGACGUGAAGAGAUGAGAGUAGAUUACCGUGUUGGCCUACGUUAUUAAGCCAAAAUUUUUAAUUGCAAAUGACAAUUAUAAACCAUCUGGAUUUGCCCUAGCGGCGUAAUCAAAGGGGGUUGGCCACUUACCUAGCAACAGAAAAUGUGGCACA
RNAcentral lists this transfer-messenger RNA (347 nucleotides) under Hellea sp. It matches the Rfam family "Alphaproteobacteria transfer-messenger RNA". From Rfam's summary of the family: Bacterial tmRNA, also known as 10Sa RNA or SsrA, is named for its dual tRNA and mRNA-like properties. Its role is to liberate the mRNA from a stalled ribosome. The record is from RNAcentral. Lineage: Bacteria; Pseudomonadati; Pseudomonadota; Alphaproteobacteria; Maricaulales; Robiginitomaculaceae.